GCUUGUCUCAAAGAUUAAGCCAUGCAUGUCUAAGUGUAAAUACGUCUACACUGUGAAACUGCGAAUGGCUCAUUAAAUCAGUUAUCGUUUAUUUGAUGAUCUCUUGUUACAUGGAUAACCGUAGUAAUUCUAGAGCUAAUACAUGCGUCAAGCCCCGACUCACGAAGGGGUGUAUUUAUUAGAUUCAAAACCAACCGUGUAAAAGCGUACCUUGGUGAUUCAUAAUAACUUGUCGAACCGCACGCCCUUGAGGCAGCGGUGAUUCAUUCAAAUUUCUGCCCUAUCAACUUUCGACGGUAGGAUAGAGGCCUACUGUGGUGAUAACGGGUAACGAAGAAUAAGGGUUCGAUUUCGGAGAGGGAGCCUGAGAAACGGCUACCACAUCCAAGGAAGGCAGCAGG
This 401-nucleotide ribosomal RNA is filed under the name uncultured Cryptophyta. Its description in RNAcentral is "partial small subunit ribosomal RNA". It matches the Rfam family "Eukaryotic small subunit ribosomal RNA", at positions 30 to 432 of the family's 1831-position model. Lineage: Eukaryota; Cryptophyceae. The record is from RNAcentral.